RNAcentral lists this ribosomal RNA (253 nucleotides) under uncultured bacterium. RNAcentral's name for it is "partial 16S ribosomal RNA". It matches the Rfam family "Bacterial small subunit ribosomal RNA", at positions 524 to 776 of the family's 1533-position model. The record is from RNAcentral.
UACAGAGGGGGCAAGCGUUAUUCGGAAUUAUUGGGCGUAAAGGGCGCGUAGGCGGCCUUGCAAGUGACGGGUGAAAUCCCUCGGCUUAACCGAGGAACUGCCUGUCAAACUGCGUGGCUUGAGACCAGGAGAGGUGAGUGGAAUUCCCAGUGUAGCGGUGAAAUGCGUAGAUAUUGGGAGGAACACCAGUGGCGAAGGCGGUUCUCUGGGCCUUACCUGACGCUGAGACGCGAAAGCGUGGGGAGCGAACCGG